AUGGGAACGCGAAGAACCUUACCUACUCUUGACAUCCAGAGAACUUUUCCAGAGAUGGAUUUGGUGCCUUCGGGAACGUCUGAGACAGGUGCUGCAUGGCUGUCGUCAGCUCGUGUUGUGAAAUGUUGGGUUAAGUCCCGCAACGAGCGCAACCCGUUAUCCUUUGUUGCCAGCGGUUAGGCCGGGAACUCAAAGGAGACUGCCAGUGAUAAACUGGAGGAAGGUGGGGAUGACGUCAAGUCAUCAUGGCCCUUACGAGUAGGGCUACACACGUGCUACAAUGGCGCAUACAAAGAGAAGCGACCUCGCGAGAGCAAGUGGACCUCAUAAAGUGCGUCGUAGUCCGGAUUGGAGUCUGCAACUCGACUCCAUGAAGUCGGAAUCGCUAGUAAUCGUAGAUCAGAAUGCUACGGCG
Molecule: ribosomal RNA, 415 nt
Filed under: uncultured bacterium
Lineage: Bacteria
Description: bacterial SSU rRNA
Rfam family: Bacterial small subunit ribosomal RNA
Source: RNAcentral